CCCGACUCGAUCCUGCUAUGUUCUCACCUCCUGAGAAGAAAAAUGGAACAAAAAGGAAAAGGGUGAGCUCAACUAGCCCAGUAAAGAAUAUUAUGACUAAGAUAAUAUACAACAAAUUAUCGUUAGUCUUCAACAGGGAAAAAUCUAAUAGAAUACAAUAGACAACAAGUUUUAGAUCAACAAAUGCAGCGGAAACAGCAAUCCAUUAGAAGAGUCACGUAGAGAAAGAAUUCUACUGUCUUCUAAGGUUUAAAAGUCCAUCAUCAAUAGUUUAUCCCUGUAAUAACAAUCAAUAUACAUCUUUAAUCAUCUUUGCACUACAGGCCAAAGAUAUUCAUUUGUAUCACCAGUUGGUCAUGUUCAUCUCAACACCUGUUCAUCUUUGCACUACAGGCCAAAGAUAUUCAUCAGUUAAUCGUUCAUCUUUGCACUACAGGCCAAAGAUAUUCAUUUAUAUCACCAUUUAGGACUGAGGAUGAUGAAAAACAUUUUUAAAGAAACGAAUCCAGUGAAACAAAAUGACAAGGAUUAAGGAUUAAGGAUUCGUACUUUGUUUUACCCAUGUCCAAAAAUACUUCGAAAAUAAUCAUAUUGGUGUAAAAUUCAAGAAUGAUCAAAACAUGGAUACAAUCAAAGCUAGUAUCCAGAAUAGAUAUUUUGGACAAAAAGAAAAAUUUUUAUUUUUCGGUGAAUAGUGCCGUAUUCGUGAAUAGUGUCGUAUACGUGAAUAGUGCCGUAUACGUGAAUAGUAACCCCGACACAACAAGUUCCAAAUUUGAUAAAAAAGUUCACCAAUACUUCGGCAUAAUGAUAUUGAAGAAAAAAUAUCAUUUAAGAAGAAAAUAAUACCCCUUACCUCAAAAUAACCGUACUUCUGACUGAAUUUCGGUAUAGUGCUGACAGAAACCCGCACCGUAUAGCAACACUCAAAGUAUACUCACAAGAAUACGCUCGAUAAUUUAGAGAGAGAAAGAGAGAAAACUUAGUUUCUGGUGUGAUUUUCAAUUCUAACUUAGCCCUCUAUUUAUAGGAAAAUGUUAGAACGCCAAAGGAGACUAAAUUAAUAAAUUAUUAUUAUUUAAAAUUACAUUUCUACGCAUGCCAUUUGAACACUUCAGCCACCAGCCAACCUUGACCCAAUUUCCAGCAGCCCACAUGUUCAAACAAGAGUGGGUCCCACCCAUUAUUUAAUAAAAAUUAUUUUAUCUUCCGAAACUUCAAUAAUUCGUAGAAAAUAGCUCGUUUAUCAGAAAAAUUCGAAACUCGCGACUUUCCAUGGGAAAUUCCAUUCUCUACAACUUUGCAGAAGAAAAUUUUUCCAAAUUCCAAACAGAAAUUGACCGAAAUCCAUAAACGGGCGAUUUUACAGUCUAUAAUCAAUUUUCGGUCAAGAAUUGUGUCCACCGACACACAAAACAUAUGUUAAACAUUUAAUGCCACAAAAUACUCUACCUCCUCAUAUACUCAUAUAUCCCACAUUCAUUAUAAAAAUAUCACCGUUAAUAUAUUAUUAAAAUAAUAUAUUUAAAUGAAUUAUUUUAUCAGAAAAAGAUAAAAUAUUAAUUUUCAACAAUUGUCACAUUAAAAAUUUUCUCCAUCUAUAUCCACAUAAAAUAAAUAUUUUCUUUAUCAUAAUAAUCAAUAAUUAAUUAUUUAAAAAUAAUAUUACAGAAUCACAGUACUGACAACCAGGCCGUUCCCAGGAAAGAGGGGGCUUUCCAAUAAGGAUUUCUCCUUACUGGCGCGCAAUUAGGUGACCAAACCUCUCCUUAGACAGAACUUUCUAGACAUUGCCAAUAAUGUUAUCUGAUAAUAUUAUUCAAAUAAUAUGAAUUAUUGAUUUGAUAAUGGAAAAUACUGUGUAAUGACAAUUAUUGAAACAACAGCAAUACAAAAUAUCAACGCAGCAAUUAUUGAAUCAAUAAAAUAUAAUAUUGAACAGUAACUACUGUAACAAUUAUUGAGUAGUGCCUUCUUACGUAAGGAUCAAUAAUUCAAUAAUACUGUGCAAUACCGUGUGCUACUGUGCAACCACGCGUAUUACUGUAUUUUAACCACCAGGUAACCCAACAGUGUUAACGGUAACAAUUUACGUCGUUAUUUAUAAAACUCAAUCUUUGUCGUUUUCCUUCAUCCAACCGUUUUCCGUUAUGGGGCCCACCAAUGACUGCGCCGUCGUACGGAGAUUCCCGACAAAAAGAAUAUUCCACGACCAAACGAAUAUUCCCCGACAAUAAUGAAUAUUUUAUAACCACUUGCUUAUUUUGUAAACUUUGCACAUUUCACCCAUAACCAAAGAAUUAUAUCAAAUUAACCCUUAUUAAUUUAGAAUAAUGAAUAAAGGAAAAUUCAAUUUUAUUUAUAAUAAGUUGGGGUCUUACAACCUCCCCUCCUUAUGAAAUUUCGUCCUCGAAAUUGACGUACGUACCUGGUAUAUCGAAAAGGUGAGGGUACCUCGCUUUCAUCUCCGAUUCCAACUCCCAUGUCAUUUCCUCAAUUGCAUGGUUUCUCCACAAAACCUUAACUUGUGGUAUAACCUUCGUGCGUAAGACAUGCUCUUUCCUAUCCAAAAUCUCAACAGGUAUCUCCUCGUAGGUUAAAUCUUCAGCUAUCUCGUCUGGUUCUAAUGCAAUAAUGUGGUUCGGGUCUUUCACAUAUUUACGAAGCAUAGAUAUGUGGAAUACAUUGUGAACACGAGACAUACUUGGAGGUAACGCGAGUCUAUAGGCUACGUUUCCUAUUCGGUCAAGAAUCUCAAAUGGACCAACAAACCUUGGAUUGAGCUUUCCUCUUUUCCCAAAUCUUGUAACUCCUUUCCAUGGAGCAAUACGUAACAAUACAUGAUCUCCAAUAUUAAACUCCACGUCCUUUCUAUGAAGAUCAGCAUAACUCUUUUGUCGAUCUUGUGAAGUUUGAAUACGUUGUCGAAUCAUUUGGAUCUUUUCUGUAGUCAUGCGUACUAAUUCUGGUCCCAACAAUGUUGCUUCUCCCACCUCGUCCCAGCAUACUGGAGAACGACAUUUUCGUCCAUACAACGCCUCAAAUGGAGCCAUGCCUAUACUUGCUUGAUAACUGUUGUUGUAGGAGAAUUCCACCAGUGGUAGGUACUUAUCCCAACUUCCUUUGAAAUCUAGGACACAGAGUCUUAAUAGAUCUUCAAGGGUUUGAAUAGUCCUCUCUGAUUGUCCGUCCGUUUGAGGAUGGUAUGCUGAACUGAAUCGUAAAUCCGUGCCCAUAGCUUUCUGCAAGCUAACCCAAAAUCUUGAAGUGAAUCUCGGGUCACGAUCCGAAACUAUGGAUACUGGCAUGCCAUGCAAUCGUACAAUCUCAUUCACGUACAUACGAGCAAGACGUUCAAGGGGAUAAGUCUCGCGUAUCGGUAAGAAAUGGGCAGACUUGGUUAAUCUAUCAACAAUAACCCAAAUUGCAUCUACGCCUUGAGAAACUUUGGGAAGACCUGUAACAAAAUCCAUAGUAAUGUGUUCCCAUUUCCAUUCCGGAAUCUCAAGUGGUUGCAAUGGACCUUUUGGCACUUGAUGCUCCGCCUUUACACGUUGACAGGUUAAACAUCUUGAGAUAAACUCCGCAAUCUCUCUCUUCAUAUUGUUCCACCAAAAUGUAUGUCGAAUAUCAUGAUACAUUUUGGUACUCCCAGGAUGGAUUGCAAACGGGGUGUUGUGUGCCUCCAUCAUGAUUUUAUGCUUCAGGUCAGAAUCGUUAGGAACGCAAAGUCUAGAAUUGACUCGAAGUAUUCCUUCCUCAUCAAUUCUUGCUUCCGGAAUAGCUCCUUCUUGCACUUUCUUCUUCAUACGCAUCAGCCCCAGGUCCGUAGCUUGAGCAGCUUUAACUUUAUCGAUUAAAGUCGGUUCUACUUGUAUAUUCGCCAUCAUUAUGUGGGUCCCUGGAGUCUUUAAUUCUACCUCCAUCCUUUGCAAGUCAUACAAAAUGGGCCUUUGCGUUGACAAUAUCGCACUCGUACUUGCAUAUGAUCUUCUACUUAAUGCGUCAGCUACUACGUUCGCUUUUCCAGGAUGAUAUUGAAUAGUGUGAUCGUAAUCUUUUAACAGCUCCAGCCAACGUCGUUGCCGCAUGUUGAGUUCUUUUUGGGUGAAGAAAUAUUUGAGGCUUUUAUGGUCCGUAUAAAUCUCCACUUUCUCUCCAUACAAGUAGUGUCUCCAUAUCUUCAACGCGAAUACGACUGCUGCCAACUCUAGAUCAUGAGUAGGAUAAUUCCUCUCAUAUUCUUUGAGUUGUCGUGAGGCAUAGGCUAUGACUUUCCCAUGUUGCAUGAGAACACAUCCUAACCCCUUGCCAGAAGCAUCGCUGUAGAUAACAAAUCCAUCUGAACCAGAUGGUAUUGUCAGAACAGGUGCCGAAAUGAGUCUCCUCUUGAGCUCUUGGAAGCUCUUCUCGCAUUCCUCGCUCCAUAAGAAUUUUGCAUCCUUCCGAGUCAGCUGAGUUAACGGAGUAGCGAUUCGAGAAAAUCCUUCCACAAAUCUCCGAUAAUAACCAGCUAAGCCCAGAAAGCUGCGUACUUCGGUCACCGACUUCGGUUGCUCCCAACUUUGUAUUGCUUCAAUCUUCGCCGGGUCAACAGAUACUCCUUGUUUUGACACCACGUGCCCAAGGAAUGCUACUUCCUCAAGCCAGAACUCGCAUUUCUUCAGCUUGGCAUAAAGCUUGUGUUCACGAAGUCUUUGUAGUACCAGCUUCAAAUGGUGCUCAUGAUCUUCACGGCUUUUGGAAUAGAUGAGGAUGUCAUCAAUAAAGACAACAACGAACUGAUCCAAAUAUUCCUUAAAUACACGGUUCAUCAUAUCCAUGAAAGCAGCAGGAGCAUUAGUCAAUCCAAAAGACAUGACCAAGAAUUCAUAAUGCCCGUAUCGAGUCCUGAAUGCCGUCUUUGGAAUAUCCUCAGUUUUAAUCUUCAGCUGAUGAUAUCCAGAACGAAGAUCGAUCUUUGAAAAGAAUUGCGCUCCUUGUAACUGGUCGAACAGGUCAUCAAUGCGAGGUAGCGGAUACCUAUUCUUGAUGGUGACAUGGUUCAAUUCUCGAUAGUCAAUACAAAGUCGCAUACUCCCGUCUUUCUUCUUUACGAAUAAAACAGGAGCACCCCAAGGAGACGUACUAGGACGAAUGAAACCGAUGUCUAAUAACUCCUGUAGUUGGACUUUUAACUCCUGAAGUUCAAUAGGAGCCAUUCGAUAUGGGGUUUUAGAAAUGGGCUUUGUACCCGGUUCAAGGUCAAUAAAGAAUUCAACAUCACGUUCUGGGGGUAGACCGGGAAGCUCUUCAGGAAAUACAUCAGGGAAUUCUCUAACCACAGAAAUAUUAUUCAAAUCUGACUUGUCUUUAUUCAAAUCCAUAACAUGGGCUAAGAAAGCUUGACAUCCGUUUUUCAAUAAACGAAUAGCUUUGUGGCUUGAUAUGACAGUGACUGAUUUUAGUGGUUUAGUGGUUUGAAUUCGUAUGACAGGUUGGUUAGGAAUAUGAAAACUAACAACCUUACGAAAACAAUCAAUUUUGGCAUGAUGAGUGGUUAACCAAUCAAUUCCUAAAAUCACAUCAAAAGCAAGUAUCUUUAAAGAGAUAAGAUCAACAGGUAAUGUGAUAGUGCCAACUUGGAUCAUGCAAGAUUUAUAAACUGUAGAUGUAACGAAGGUUUCACCCAACGGAGUUUCAACAGAUAAAUCAAAAUCUAAUUUCUCCGGAGUCAAGUUUAAACGUUGAGCACAAGCAGGAGAGAUAAAAGAAUGGGUAGAACCGGUAUCUAGUAAGGUAUAAACUUCGCAAGAAUUCAAGAUUAGCUUACCCGUGAUCACCUCGUUUGGGUUCCUCACGUUUUGUCCAGUCACGACAAACGCUCUUCCAGGAACCGCUGAUUUCGACUUAUCCGGGACAGCCCUUGGAAUCACCACUCCUGCUGAACUUGGUUUCGCGAUAGUACAAUCUCGAGCGAUGUGGCCUUCCUUUCCACAGUUGUAACAUACCUUGGAUUGUUGUGGACAGUUUGGGCUGAUAUGUCCCUCCUUCCCGCAUUUGUAACAUCUAACUGGCGGUCGUUCUCCUCCCCUAGCAUUUGUUGUUGGUGCUGGUGCUGCCGUUGAUAUCUUCCCGUCAUUGUUGAAUCUUCUCUUUCUGAAAUUUCCACUUGAGUCACCUCUCCUAUUAUCAUGUCCACGAUUACCACCUGAGUGGUUACCGCCUUUGUCCGUAUUCUUUCCUCCUCGCUGGUUAUCAUCGUUCUGAUGACUACCCUGAUUGUGGUCCCUCGGUUGAGUAUACUCACUAUCUCGCUCUAAUAACUGAGCCCUGUUGACAACAUCUGAAUACAGAGAAAAUUUAUGAGAGAUAAGGUAUUGACGAAUCUCUGGUUUUAGACCUCUCAGAAACAUACGCGUCAUUCGUUCCUCAUUCUCCACCAAAUGAGGUGCAAACCUGGAUAAUUCUGCGAACCUUGCCUCGUACUGAGACACCGUCAUGUUGUUCUGUUCGAGUCUAAUAAACUCUACCUCCUUCAUAUGACGAAUACUUUCUGGAAAGUACUUGUCAUUGAACAGUUUCUGAAAUCUUUCCCAAGACAUGUUAAGUGCAUCUGGCUGGGUACGCUUCACAGAUUCCCACCAGUAAUCUGCUUCACCACGAAACAUAAAGGUGGCGAAUGGAACCUUCUGUUCCUCCGUGCACCCCAAGACAUCGAAUAUCUUGGUAAUUUGCUUGACCCACGUUUCUGCCUUGAUCGGAUCCGGCUUUCCAUGGAAAUCUGGUGGUCCCAACUCUUUGAAUUGUUUGGCCGUGACAAACCGCACGUUACUAUCAUUUCCUCCCGUAUUUUGUACACGAGUCUCCCUCGUCUGAUUUUGCAUGAACUGCAAAAAGCUUCUAAACAUCCCGUCGUUCAUCAUUUGCUCAGUGGCGUUGUUCACAGGAGGAACAUUGCCAGCCUGUUGCACGUUCUCCUCGUUGGUGAGUACCGGCGUCUCCACGGUCUCAUAAACUCCAUUGUUAACGUUCUCAGCAGCCAUUCUUAAAUACUGCCAUAAAACAAGGGUUAAUUAAACAAAUUAACAUAUCACAUAAUAUCCUAUAUUAUGACCGACCAACAAAUAAGCUUAGGUAGGACACACUAGCGAAGGAUUUACUCGUCUCUCCCCUCCUAGUUCUAUUCCCCGAUCUCCGCCAGAGAUCAUAUCCCUAAGCUCUGAUACCAACUGUGACGCCCCCAAAAUAGGUAUACAACACCCAUUCUGAGUCGCCAAAAUACAUGGUAUAGAAAGCAAACUACAACUUUGACAAUACAGAUGUCGUGUAGAAUACGACAAUACAACUGUGAGUUUGAAUACAAAUAUUGUCUUCUAGACAAUAUACACACCCAAAUAAGUCCUCAUUAAUUAUUCAUACACUAUUUUACAGAAAUAGUGAGGACAGCUAAAACAUCUUCCUAGAACCAUCACUCCAUACCCCGACUCGAUCCUGCUAUGUUCUCACCUCCUGAGAAGAAAAAUGGAACAAAAAGGAAAAGGGUGAGCUCAACUAGCCCAGUAAAGAAUAUUAUGACUAAGAUAAUAUACAACAAAUUAUCGUUAGUCUUCAACAGGGAAAAAUCUAAUAGAAUACAAUAGACAACAAGUUUUAGAUCAACAAAUGCAGCGGAAACAGCAAUCCAUUAGAAGAGUCACGUAGAGAAAGAAUUCUACUGUCUUCUAAGGUUUAAAAGUCCAUCAUCAAUAGUUUAUCCCUGUAAUAACAAUCAAUAUACAUCUUUAAUCAUCUUUGCACUACAGGCCAAAGAUAUUCAUUUGUAUCACCAGUUGGUCAUGUUCAUCUCAACACCUGUUCAUCUUUGCACUACAGGCCAAAGAUAUUCAUCAGUUAAUCGUUCAUCUUUGCACUACAGGCCAAAGAUAUUCAUUUAUAUCACCAUUUAGGACUGAGGAUGAUGAAAAACAUUUUUAAAGAAACGAAUCCAGUGAAACAAAAUGACAAGGAUUAAGGAUUAAGGAUUCGUACUUUGUUUUACCCAUGUCCAAAAAUACUUCGAAAAUAAUCAUAUUGGUGUAAAAUUCAAGAAUGAUCAAAACAUGGAUACAAUCAAAGCUAGUAUCCAGAAUAGAUAUUUUGGACAAAAAGAAAAAUUUUUAUUUUUCGGUGAAUAGUGCCGUAUUCGUGAAUAGUGUCGUAUACGUGAAUAGUGCCGUAUACGUGAAUAGUAACCCCGACACAACAAGUUCCAAAUUUGAUAAAAAAGUUCACCAAUACUUCGGCAUAAUGAUAUUGAAAAAAAAAUAUCAUUUAAGAAGAAAAUAAUACCCCUUACCUCAAAAUAAUCGUACUUCUGACUGAAUUUCGGUAUAGUGCUGACAGAAACCCGCACCGUAUAGCAACACUCAAAGUAUACUCACAAGAAUACGCUCGAUAAUUUAGAGAGAGAAAGAGAGAAAACUUAGUUUCUGGUGUGAUUUUCAAUUCUAACUUAGCCCUCUAUUUAUAGGAAAAUGUUAGAACGCCAAAGGAGAC
This 8517-nucleotide long non-coding RNA is filed under the name Panax ginseng (ginseng). RNAcentral describes it as "long non-coding RNA (PGIN_LNC004702)". Lineage: Eukaryota; Viridiplantae; Streptophyta; Magnoliopsida; Apiales; Araliaceae. The record is from RNAcentral.